This 305-nucleotide ribosomal RNA is filed under the name uncultured bacterium. Its description in RNAcentral is "bacterial SSU rRNA". It matches the Rfam family "Bacterial small subunit ribosomal RNA", at positions 337 to 640 of the family's 1533-position model. The record is from RNAcentral.
UCCUACGGGGCGCAGCAGUGAGGAACAUUGGUCAAUGGUCGGGAGACUGAACCAGCCAAGCCGCGUGAGGGAUGAAGGUACAGAGUAUCGUAAACCUCUUUUGUCAGGGAACAAAGGCGGGGACGUGUCCCCGGAUGAGUGUACCUGAAGAAAAAGCAUCGGCUAACUCCGUGCCAGCAGCCGCGGUAAUACGGAGGAUGCGAGCGUUAUCCGGAUUUAUUGGGUUUAAAGGGUGCGCAGGCGGUCUGUUAAGUCAGCGGUCAAAGCCCGGGGCUCAACCCCGGCCCGCCGUUGAGACUGGCAGU